RNAcentral lists this long non-coding RNA (239 nucleotides) under Elaeis guineensis (African oil palm). Its description in RNAcentral is "long non-coding RNA (EGUI_LNC017452)". The record is from RNAcentral. Lineage: Eukaryota; Viridiplantae; Streptophyta; Magnoliopsida; Arecales; Arecaceae.
UGCCUGAGCUGCUCAAUAUAUUGAAGAUAGUCGAAAGCCAUUUUAAGAGUGAAAAGGCACAUGUUCUUCUGAUAGAUAAGAUCUCCAAGAAGAAGAUAGGCAAUAAUGGUUCCAAUAAAAAAAAAGAUGAACCCUGAGGCUAGCAUCUCUAAGAAGAUAGUGAAGAGUGUCUCAGCCAAAGUACCUAUUUCCACUAUGAGAAAGAAGGACACUGAAAGAGAAACUACAAGUACUACCUU